GUGCCAGCAGCCGCGGUAAUACGUAGGUGGCAAGCGUUGUCCGGAUUUACUGGGCGUAAAGGAUGUGUAGGCGGAUAUUUAAGGGAGAUGUGAAAUCCCCGGGCUUAACUUGGGGGCUGCAUUUCAAACUGGAUGUCUAGAGUGCAGGAGAGGAAAGCAGAAUUCCUAGUGUAGCGGUGUAAUGCGUAGAGAUUAGGAAGAAUACCAGUGGCGAAUUCGGAUUUCUGGACUGUAACUGAUGCUGAGGCAUGAAA
RNAcentral lists this ribosomal RNA (254 nucleotides) under uncultured bacterium. RNAcentral describes it as "partial 16S rRNA". It matches the Rfam family "Bacterial small subunit ribosomal RNA", at positions 505 to 758 of the family's 1533-position model. The record is from RNAcentral.